AUCUCCUAUCGUUUUAGAUCAUCCACUGGAGGGACUCGACAUUGACAUAUCAUCGAUCGAGGGUUAUCUCCGGACACCUUCCCCGGAAGUUCAGGAUGAGCGACUCUGGUUACUUGCUGAUAUCCCGAGCUCGACCAAAAAGCUUGUGGGUAUUAGUUCACAGGAGGAGGACGUCCAAGAGGAUGUUUAUGAGACCGUUCACAUUGAGUCUGUCGACGGAGCACGCGAUAUUGACUUGACCGUGAUUCAGGAUUCUCCGGUUAAACCUCCUCCCGCAUACGUACAGAAG
Molecule: long non-coding RNA, 289 nt
Organism: Mangifera indica (mango)
Lineage: Eukaryota; Viridiplantae; Streptophyta; Magnoliopsida; Sapindales; Anacardiaceae
Exons: 4
Source: RefSeq, a predicted model, not a curated record